CAUGUGUAGGAUAGGUGGGAGGCUAAGAAGCUGGGGCGUCAGCCUCGGUGGAGCCAACGGUGAAAUACCACUCUUGUUCAGUUUUGGUUCUAACCCGCUCUGUGAGCGGGGACAAUGUCUGGUGGGUAGUUUGACUGGGGCGGUUGCCUCCUAAAAGGUAACGGAGGCGUCCAAAGGUUCCCUCAGCACGGAUGGAAAUCGUGUGUUGAGUGCAUUGGCAUAAGGGAGCUUAACUGUGAGACCUACAAGUCGAGCAGAGACGAAAGUCGGGCAAAGUGAUCCCACGGCCCCGUGUGGAAGGGCCGUGGCUUAUCGGAUAAAAGCUACGCCAGGGAUAACAGGCUUAUCUUGCCCAAGAGUUCAUAUCGACGGCAAGGUUUGGCACCUCGAUGUCGGCUCAUCGCAUCCUGGGGCUGGAGAAGGUCCCAAGGGUUGGGCUGUUCGCCCAUUAAAGCGGUACGCGAGCUGGGUUCAAACCGUCGUGAGACAGGUUGGUCUCUAUCCGUCGUGGGCGCUGGAGAUUUGAGGGGAGCUCUCCUUAGUACGAGAGGAUCAGGAGGGACAGACCUCUGGUGUGCCAGUUGUUGCGCCAGCAGCAGUGCUGGGUAGCCAAGUCUGGAGGGGAUAAGCGCUGAAAGCAUCUAAGUGCGAAGCCCACCCCAAGAUAAGAUCUCCCACCGGGUUAACCGGGUAAGGCCGCAAGUAGACUACUUGCUUGAUAGGCGGCGUGUGUAAG
Molecule: ribosomal RNA, 736 nt
Filed under: marine sediment metagenome
Description: LSU rRNA
Rfam family: Bacterial large subunit ribosomal RNA
Source: RNAcentral